UGACUUUCUUGUGUCAAAACGGUGUCGAGUUCUUUUCGUUUAAAGGUCUCUUGUGCGAAAGUUGUGUUUUUCCGUGCAUUUCACGUUUCGUGUCAAAAACUAUAGACUUAAAAAUGCGUUACGUGGCUGCAUACCUGUUGGCUGUUCUCGGUGGUCAAGAUAGCCCCGCCAAUGCUGAUCUGGAGAAAAUUCUUAGCUCUGUGGGUAUUGAGGCCGAUGCCGAGCGUCUGACCCGUGUCAUCAAGGAGUUGAAGGGCAAGAGCAUAGACGAUCUGAUCAAGGAGGGUCGUGAGAAGCUAUCAUCGAUGCCCGUUGGCGGUAGUUGUGCUGCUGCUGCACCCGCAGCCGGUGCUCCAACGGCUGCUGCUGGUGGUGAUAAGAAGGAAGCCAAAAAAGAAGAGAAGAAGGAAGAGUCUGAGUCUGAAGAUGACGAUAUGGGCUUCGCUCUCUUCGAAUAAUCCAACUUCUUUCAACAUUCGUAUGUACUGCGUAAAACAUUUACAACAGCAGUACUUAAGAACUGGGCAGCACAAUCAUCGACUGCUUACACAAUGCCACACAUUGCUUAAAAUGACGUUCAAAUCUUGUUACUACCACCCGACAAAUAUAUUAAAAAAAAAAAAGGAAACUUUAAAACGUUUAUUUCUAUGAAAUAAAAAUUUGCAGUGUUUACGCAUCGUUCAUCGUCA
Drosophila mojavensis is the source of this 689-nucleotide RNA transcript. It is a transcript of the gene named 60S acidic ribosomal protein P2, with no coding region annotated. The transcript is spliced from 3 exons. The record is from RefSeq and is a predicted model, not a curated record. Lineage: Eukaryota; Metazoa; Arthropoda; Insecta; Diptera; Drosophilidae.